UACGUAGGGGGCAAGCGUUGUCCGGAUUUAUUGGGCGUAAGGAGCGUGUAGGCGGCUUUACAGGUCCGUUGUGAAAACUCGAGGCUCAACCUCGAGACGCCGGUGGAAACCGUAAAGCUAGAGUCCGGAAGAGGAGAGUGGAAUUCCUGGUGUAGCGGUGAAAUGCGCAGAUAUCAGGAGGAACACCGAUGGCGAAGGCAGGUCUCUGGGCAUUAACUGACGCUGAGGAGCGAAAGCAUGGGGAGCGAACAGG
This 253-nucleotide ribosomal RNA is filed under the name uncultured bacterium. RNAcentral describes it as "partial 16S ribosomal RNA". It matches the Rfam family "Bacterial small subunit ribosomal RNA", at positions 524 to 776 of the family's 1533-position model. The record is from RNAcentral.